UGGGACGUAUCCUUGGUACAAUUCUCCCUCCUACUGAUUGAACUGGAGUCGCUUAUCUCCCUCUACUUGAGACAUCUUCAACAUAGAGGGCGCUGUAGAGCCAGUUUCCUUCAAGCUAUCUUGGAAUCGCCAUUACACUAUCUCAAGAAUCUCAAGUGCAAUAUUGUAUGUUGAUUGCUUCUUGUACUGCUGGAUCAAUUCUUCACAUUUUAAUUAACACUUAGCUCCAGGAACUAAUUGCUUCACAUAGAACAUGAUCUUCAGAAUACUGCUGUUGCUAAACUUAAAGGCUCAAGUGUAGACAAACCCUUCUGAAGUAUGAAGAAAUGUGGCUCAGUUAAGCUGAAAACUUCAGACCUCAUAUGAAUUGUUUAUUGGCUGCCAACAGCAGACUGUCUGCAUGUUAUGGCCUCUGGGACAAUACCUGGUGCUGGAAAACAAGCAGACGUAGCCCGCUUCCCCAGGACACCCACACAGGACCACGGAAUCGUCACGCUCACCACUCUAGUGUAAUACUCACUGGUUUACAGUCAAAAUAUGUCAUAAAAUGUCGCUUCUAAUAUCAGGCCAGAAUAAAUUAGAGCUUCGUCUCUGCCUGCCUCACAUCUAAACACUCCCAAAUACAGAUGAAGAAAUGUUUGAUCAAACUUACCAUAUUGGUAAUCCUACCAAACAUUCAUACGUGAAGAUCCGGGGUAGAAUAGGUCUUCAGCAACCCAUGCUUGCCGUAAAAGGUGACUAUGCUUGUUGUAAGAGGUGACUAACAGGAUCGGGUGGUCAGGCUCAUUGACUUGAUUGAUACAU
This 804-nucleotide long non-coding RNA is filed under the name Haliotis rufescens (red abalone). RNAcentral describes it as "uncharacterized LOC124148740, transcript variant X3". Lineage: Eukaryota; Metazoa; Mollusca; Gastropoda; Lepetellida; Haliotidae. The record is from RNAcentral.